AGAAGGGUUUCCACUAUAGAAAUUUUAACAUGCUCAUCAUCCUUCCAUCUUCCAUGAUCAUAACAGCAGAUAUUAUAUACAUAUUAUCAUUAAUGAGAACUUAAAUACGAUAUUAUGGGGAAACAAAGCAUGAGUUCCCUUCUGUAGCUAGUUCUAUACAAACUAAAACUUCUGUUAGCAAACAACAAGAACAGGUUUAUAAUUGAAAGUCCAUGUCCGAGUUGUUGCUAAUAUACCCUUUAUUUAACAAGUAGAAAGUUAUCAAAAUUUUAAUUCAAAUCCCCUACUGAGGGCGUAAUUUACGAAAUCAUUAAACUCAUGUAAGUCGAUGAACCCAUCUCCAUUAGCAUCAUUAUAGGCGAGCGCACGCCCGGCUCUGUAACCAGGAAAAAAUGCGCCAAGUUGACUGAAGGCUUCAGCUAUCUCUUCCCUGCUCAGACGAUUGUCAUUGUUCUUAUCGAAUCGACUGAAUAGUUUCUUUAACUGCACAUCUGAAACAGGAACUCCUUUGUUUCUUACGAAAAAACCCAUCUUGCAGGAGCGACUUUGGAGUGGCUUUAUUAGGGCUUGGACUGGACUAAGGAUAAGUUGUACUAUGGCCUUGCUAAUAUGGCAGCAAGGAUUUUAUAGAACAUCUUCG
Molecule: unclassified non-coding RNA, 640 nt
Filed under: Hevea brasiliensis (rubber tree)
Lineage: Eukaryota; Viridiplantae; Streptophyta; Magnoliopsida; Malpighiales; Euphorbiaceae
Source: RNAcentral